GAUGAGCGCUGGCGGCGUGCCUAAUACAUGCAAGUCGAACGCACAGCGAAAGGUGCUUGCACCUUUCAAGUGAGCGGCGAACGGGUGAGUAACACGUGGACAACCUGCCUCAAGGCUGGGGAUAACAUUUGGAAACAGAUGCUAAUACCGAAUAAAACUCAGUGUCGCAUGACACAAAGUUAAAAGGCGCUUUGGCGUCACCUAGAGAUGGAUCCGCGGUGCAUUAGUUAGUUGGUGGGGUAAAGGCCUACCAAGACAAUGAUGCAUAGCCGAGUUGAGAGACUGGUCGGCCACAUUGGGACUGAGACACGGCCCAAACUCCCACGGGAGGCUGCAGUAGGGAAUCUUCCACAAUGGGCGAAAGCCUGAUGGAGCAACGCCGCGUGUGUGAUGAAGGCUUUCGGGUCGUAAAGCACUGUUGUAUGGGAAGAACAGCUAGAAUAGGGAAUGAUUUUAGUUUGACGGUACCAUACCAGAAAGGGACGGCUAAAUACGUGCCAGCAGCCGCGGUAA
This 513-nucleotide ribosomal RNA is filed under the name uncultured bacterium. RNAcentral describes it as "partial 16S ribosomal RNA". It matches the Rfam family "Bacterial small subunit ribosomal RNA", at positions 28 to 523 of the family's 1533-position model. The record is from RNAcentral.